This 157-nucleotide ribosomal RNA is filed under the name uncultured bacterium. Its description in RNAcentral is "partial 16S ribosomal RNA". It matches the Rfam family "Bacterial small subunit ribosomal RNA", at positions 355 to 527 of the family's 1533-position model. The record is from RNAcentral.
UGGGGAAUUUUGCACAAUGGGCGAAAGCCUGAUGCAGCGACGCCGCGUGGAGGAAGAAUGCCUUCGGGUUGUAAACUCCUUUUGCCGGGGAAGAUAAUGACGGUACCCUGCGAAUAAGCCACGGCUAACUCAGUGCCAGCAGCCGCGGUAAUGAAAU